UAAAGCCUACGGGGCGCAGCAGUGGGGAAUAUUGCACAAUGGGGGGAACCCUGAUGCAGCGACGCCGCGUGAGUGAAGAAGUAUUUCGGUAUGUAAAGCUCUGUCAGCAGGGAAGAAGAAAGACGGUACCUGACCAAGAAGCCCCGGCUAACUACGUGCCAGCAGCCGCGGUAAUACGUAGGGGGCAAGCGUUAUCCGGAUUUACUGGGUGUAAAGGGAGCGCAGACGGCAGGGCACGUCUGGAGUGAGCGGCAGGGGCCCAACCCCUGGACUGCUCUGGACACUGGCCGGCUGGAGUGCAGGAG
RNAcentral lists this ribosomal RNA (305 nucleotides) under uncultured bacterium. RNAcentral's name for it is "bacterial SSU rRNA". It matches the Rfam family "Bacterial small subunit ribosomal RNA", at positions 333 to 654 of the family's 1533-position model. The record is from RNAcentral.